This 90-nucleotide ribosomal RNA is filed under the name Hydrogenoanaerobacterium saccharovorans. The record is from RNAcentral. Lineage: Bacteria; Bacillati; Bacillota; Clostridia; Eubacteriales; Oscillospiraceae.
CCCGUUCCCAUACCGAACACGGUAGUUAAGCUCAUUUGUGCUGAAAAUACUUGGUGGGAAGCUGCCUGGGAAGAUAAGUCGAUGCCGACA